AGCGGAGAAAAAUUUCGAGCGAAAAGGAAAAAGGAAGGCAACGGACCAGGACAACUACGGUUGGAAAACGGACAGCGGUCGAGGUACAGAAAACUCUGUCACCGCAAGGACUGGGGCUCCCAUCGGGAGUCUCAGCUUUCGGGGAAGUUUUCGACACAAAAUAGGACAACUUACUUAGGGUGACAGAAGCUCGGAUCCCCGAAUUCAAGCCCUAGGAGGGACCCCAGGCCCGAAUGGCCCCAAGCGAGCCUGCAGCCAUUGACGGAAAAAUGACAACCGGAUAUCUUUGAACGGCGUAAAAGUCGAAAAGGAGCUCGGCAAAUAACAAUCCUACAUGAAUAAAAGAGGUCGUCGAUGACCUUAGGACGACGUGAAAAAGAAAAGAAGAAAAGGAGGAAGAGAGAAGAAAGAAGAAUAAAGAAGUUCGACGGAUGACUAUUCGAUGCAAGAUGCAGACGAGAUAACAAAAUCUCCUUUUCAUUUUUCAACCAACAAGGUGUACGUUACAAGACCCGGUGGGCCAGAAAAAAAUAAAUACAUCAUCGACGACAUCGAGAACACGGUUUGGAAAGGAUACGCCGGAAGCCGCUUCAAGCUGCAAACUUCUCUUCCCAUUUCGUGUCCAGUGCGUGUGGCGGGCCUAUCGGCUUUCGCCCCGCCUUGCUUCGCCCCACC
RNAcentral lists this long non-coding RNA (675 nucleotides) under Elaeis guineensis (African oil palm). RNAcentral describes it as "long non-coding RNA (EGUI_LNC079582)". Lineage: Eukaryota; Viridiplantae; Streptophyta; Magnoliopsida; Arecales; Arecaceae. The record is from RNAcentral.